MicroRNA precursor from Capsella rubella, 141 nucleotides. It matches the Rfam family "mir-393 microRNA precursor family". The record is from Rfam. NCBI's taxonomy places the organism in Eukaryota, Viridiplantae, Streptophyta, Magnoliopsida, Brassicales, Brassicaceae.
AGAGGAAGGAUCCAAAGGGAUCGCAUUGAUCCUAAACUAAGAGGUGGAUUCUCCACUCAUUUGUUUUCUUAAUAAUUAGCAAACAAAUCACAAAAAAAAUUGCUUGGUUUUGGAUCAUGCCAUCUCUUUGGAUUCAUCCUU